UGAACAUUGUCGCUCACCCAGCUUUGACUUUCCUUGUUGUUUAAUGAUGUAGAACCAUAGAAUUGGACACCAUCAUCUCCAUAUGGCAGUCCUUCCGACUGGAAUCUGAAAUCCCAUCUUGAUGGUGGUGGAGAGAAGCUUGAAUUAGGUCUCCAAUAGGGCUCAUGUGAACCCAUAGACCAAUCUCUACCUGCCAUAUUUGAUCCAUGUGGCCUUGCAGCCACACAACAAAGUGACCCCGUCUUAGCUAUUUCUAUAGGCCUCUGCAGUACCAAUCCCACUUGCUUGACUCCUUAAGUCUUGCCAGAAUUUUAUAACAUCUCUAGGAUAUAAUGUUUCCGAGGAGAUAUUACAAUAUGGAAGAGUACUUGUUGCCUGAUUCUGGACAUUUUAAAAGGGUUAUUUG
RNAcentral lists this long non-coding RNA (406 nucleotides) under Carica papaya (papaya). Its description in RNAcentral is "long non-coding RNA (CPAP_LNC003538)". Lineage: Eukaryota; Viridiplantae; Streptophyta; Magnoliopsida; Brassicales; Caricaceae. The record is from RNAcentral.